GUCAGCAGUCAUACCACCUGAAGUCCAGACUAGUAAUCCACCUGAAACUAAGCAGGUUUGGGCCUGGCCAGUACAUGUAAGGGAGAUCAACUAGGAAAGCUGUUGGAAGAGGUGUUGGUG
RNAcentral lists this ribosomal RNA (120 nucleotides) under Paramormyrops kingsleyae. The record is from RNAcentral. Lineage: Eukaryota; Metazoa; Chordata; Actinopteri; Osteoglossiformes; Mormyridae.